AUGAGGUAAGUUCCCGUCGGAGAAUUUAUUUAUUUUUCGUGAUUGAUAUUUUUCGUAUUCCAGUACGUGGUAUUUUAUGUGAUGGUUUCUUUCAGAAAUUCCCUAAAUCCUGUUCGGUUGAGGGUAUUGGGAUGCUGAGGACUGUGAGUGAGGCUCAGAUUAGCGAACGGUCUUCAUGCUGGGAAUUUUCAAAUUUCGUAUUUUACGAUUUCAUAGAUUUCAUAUUUUACAUGUUGAUAUUUCAUAUAUUUUAAUUUCUCUUCAUUUCGUAUCAAAUAUUUGUCCUUUCUAAACUGCUGAUCUCUUCGCAUUUCCUCCUUGUCAUCAAACCUCUGUCUCUGCAAGAGUUUGAACGCUUACCUGUCGAAGAGAUGCAAGAGCUUCAUCUGGCACUGCGCGCUUGAGGCCGUGGAGGACGCUGCUUG
Molecule: long non-coding RNA, 425 nt
Organism: Ostrinia furnacalis (Asian corn borer)
Lineage: Eukaryota; Metazoa; Arthropoda; Insecta; Lepidoptera; Crambidae
Exons: 2
Source: RefSeq, a predicted model, not a curated record